UACGGAGGGUGCAGGCGUUAUCCGGAAUCAUUGGGUUUAAAGGGUCCGCAGGCGGUCUUAUAAGUCAGUGGUGAAAUCUCUCGGCUUAACCGAGAAACUGCCAUUGAUACUGUAGGACUUGAAUUUGGUCGAAGUGGGCGGAAUAUGACAUGUAGCGGUGAAAUGCAUAGAUAUGUCAUAGAACACCGAUAGCGAAGGCAGCUCACUAGGCCAACAUUGACGCUCAUGGACGAAAGCGUGGGGAGCAAACAGG
RNAcentral lists this ribosomal RNA (253 nucleotides) under uncultured bacterium. RNAcentral's name for it is "partial 16S ribosomal RNA". It matches the Rfam family "Bacterial small subunit ribosomal RNA", at positions 524 to 776 of the family's 1533-position model. The record is from RNAcentral.